UUUCGACCUGAGGUCAGGCAAGAACACCCGCUGAACUUAAGCAUAUCAAUAAGCG
Molecule: ribosomal RNA, 55 nt
Filed under: Trebouxia sp. 14 GS-2016
Lineage: Eukaryota; Viridiplantae; Chlorophyta; Trebouxiophyceae; Trebouxiales; Trebouxiaceae
Also listed under: 1 other name
Description: partial large subunit ribosomal RNA
Source: RNAcentral